UACGGAGGGUGCAAGCGUUAUCCGGAUUUACUGGGUUUAAAGGGUGCGCAGGCGGAUAUGUAAGUCAGUGGUGAAAUCUCUGGCUUAACCCGGAAAUUGCCAUUGAUACUAUAUAUCUUGAAUGCUGUGGAGGUAAGCGGAAUAUGUCAUGUAGCGGUGAAAUGCUUAGAUAUGACAUAGAACACCAAUCGCGAAGGCAGCUUACUACAGGAAUAUUGACACUGAUGCACGAAAGCGUGGGGAUCAAACAGG
RNAcentral lists this ribosomal RNA (252 nucleotides) under uncultured bacterium. RNAcentral's name for it is "partial 16S ribosomal RNA". It matches the Rfam family "Bacterial small subunit ribosomal RNA", at positions 524 to 776 of the family's 1533-position model. The record is from RNAcentral.